UCCAUUUUGAGGAACGUCUUGUUUUCUACCUCACAUUGUUUGUUCAUUAAGGACUACAGUCCUGAUUAUUUUCAUUUUAUUAAAAUUUUUCAUUAAAGAGAAAAAAAAAGACGAUUCAAGCAACAAGUUUUUCCAAAUGGUGAAAGCUACAGCUGGCUGCUAGUGUGGACUCAAUAUGUGGCAACGUUGGAAAAUGCUCGUACUGCAUAGCUCGGUGUGAAAGUGCACAACCAAGAACACACUUUGGGAGUUGUGGACUUCUGAAGAUGUGUAUGUGAGCAAGACGUUCUGCACAUCUAUCUACCCCGCUGUUGGAAGUUCCAGAGCCACUUUCAAGGUGUAGCCGAUGCACCAUCAACUCAAAGUCCUAAUGCGUGUCAGGACUCAAGUACACAAGAGAGGACUUGCUAACCAUCAGAGAGCCUUCUUCUGACUUUUCUUCUGACUUUUUUUCGACAACUCUUGCCAAUUCGCUGCCGCUUUUUCCAGAGUUACUAGUCGGCGUGCUCUUCAAAGCCUCGUGAUCCAGUACACAAGUCCGACUGCAUAAGUGGGGACAUCGUCUAACGCUUGGGACGAAAGACUUUGGAUGUUCUGCGGCUCUGUGCUUAACGGAGACUUGGUUUUGUGGACGAUUGCCCGACGCUGCUAUCCCGUCGUCUGGUCUCAACCUCCAUCGUGCUGAUGUGUUGCCAAACUAACAAGCUUAAUCGAUACUCUUUUCAGA
Syngnathoides biaculeatus (alligator pipefish) is the source of this 727-nucleotide long non-coding RNA. RefSeq lists it as uncharacterized. The record is from RefSeq and is a predicted model, not a curated record. Lineage: Eukaryota; Metazoa; Chordata; Actinopteri; Syngnathiformes; Syngnathidae. The transcript is spliced from 3 exons.